UACGUAGGCAGCGAGCGUUGUUCGGAUUUACUGGGCGUAAAGCGCACGUAGGCGGAUCGUUAAGUCGGGGGUGAAAUCCUGGAGCUCAACUCCAGAACUGCCUUCGAUACUGGCGAUCUCGAGUCCGGAAGAGGUGAGUGGAACUCCUAGUGUAGAGGUGGAAUUCGUAGAUAUUAGGAAGAACACCAGUGGCGAAGGCGGCUCACUGGCCCGAUACUGACGCUGAGGCACGAAAGCGUGGGGAGCAAACAGGG
This 254-nucleotide ribosomal RNA is filed under the name uncultured bacterium. Its description in RNAcentral is "partial 16S ribosomal RNA". It matches the Rfam family "Bacterial small subunit ribosomal RNA", at positions 524 to 777 of the family's 1533-position model. The record is from RNAcentral.